Molecule: RNA transcript, 2168 nt
Organism: Syzygium oleosum
Lineage: Eukaryota; Viridiplantae; Streptophyta; Magnoliopsida; Myrtales; Myrtaceae
Gene name: pescadillo homolog
Exons: 13
Source: RefSeq, a predicted model, not a curated record
UUUAACGGUCGUCCCUAACCUACAUAAACCCUAGCGUUCGCCUCGCUCUGGAGCAGCCGCUUCCCUUCCCCACCUCUUCGCUCGCUCCUCCUCCUCCUGCGCCGACGCCUCUGCGACCAUGCCGAAGCACUACAGACCUGCGGGGAAGAAGAAGGAAGGCAACGCCGCGAAGUACGUCACCAGGUCCCAAGCCGUCAAGCUCCUCCAAGUCAGUCUCGUCACUUUCAGGAGACUAUGCAUCCUGAAAGGUGUAUUUCCCCGGGAACCUAAGAAGAAAGUCAAGGGGAACCACCACACUUAUUAUCACUUGAAGGAUAUCUUGUUCGUUAAACAUGAUCCAUUGCUCGAGAAGUUUAGGGAGAUGCGAACUUACGAAAAGAAAAUUAAGAAAGCUGAGGCAAAGAAAAAUAAGGACCUUUAUGAGCGUCUUCGCACUCGAAAGCCUACUUACACGCUUGACAGACUCAUAUUGGAGAGGUAUCCUAAGUUUGUUGAUGCUCUUAGAGACUUGGAUGACUGCCUGUCCAUGGUGCACCUUUUUGCGGCAUUACCAGCCUUGGAGCGGGAAAAUAUUGAAGUGAAGCGCAUUCACAAUUGUCGAAAGUUGAGUCAUGAAUGGCAAGCUUAUAUUGCUCGAACUCAUAAGCUCAGAAAAGUCUUCAUAUCUGUGAAAGGCAUAUAUUAUCAGGCUGAAGUUGAGGGUCAGAAGAUCACAUGGCUAACACCUCAUGCCUUGCAGCAAGUUCUGCCCGAAGAUGUGGACUAUAAUGUCAUGCUAACUUUUCUGGAAUUUUAUGAGACUCUUCUUGCUUUUUCGAAUUUCAAGCUAUAUCAUUCAAUCAAUGUGAAUUAUCCACCGAUCCUUGAUCCCCAACUGGAGGCUUUAGCUGAAGAGCUUUAUGCAUUGUCAAGAUAUCUUGAUGCUAAUACUAGAUCCUCCCAUGCCUCUGGAUCUGACCAAGUGGAAGGUCAACAAAAUGAAAAGCAGCAUGAUGAAUCUGAUUUAAGGCUCGCACAACUUCAACAUCAGCUUCCUCAUAAUGAGCCUGGGGUUCUAAUGCACCUUGUUGAAGAUGCUGCUGGUGAGGAUGAGGAGGAUGAAGAUACGAAGGAGUGCAAGAAUUUCUUUAAGGAUAUGAAGUUCUUCUUGGGUCGUGAGGUUCCUAGAGAGUCAUUGCUUUUCGUUAUUCCUGCUUUUGGAGGUAUUGUUUCUUGGGAGGGAGAUGGGGCUCCAUUUAGGGAGGCUGAUCAGAGCAUUACCCAUCAGAUUGUUGAUAGACCAACUCAAGGUCAUAAAUUCCUCUCUAGAGAGUAUGUUCAGCCUCAAUGGAUUUACGACUGUGUGAAUGCAAGAAUUAUCUUGCCAACUGAGGGUUACCUGGUGGGAAGGGUUCCUCCACCACACUUGUCGCCUUUUGUCGAUAAUGAAGCAGAGGGUUAUGUGCCAGACUAUGCAGAGACCAUUAAGCGCUUGCAGGCUGCUGCCAGAAAUGAGGUUCUUCCAAUGCCAGGCACCGUAAAAGAAGACUUGGAAGAUCCUCAGCGUCUCUUGGUUGAAGGGAUCAUCGACCGUGCUGAGGCAAAUGAAGCUGCUGAGAAGAAGCGGAAGAUGGCAACUCUCGAAAAACAGUAUCAUGACGUGUUAAAAAUGGAACUAGAGGGAGCCCAGUAUUCUUCAUCUUUGAUAAAUAAAAACAGAGAGCAAUGCAGCGAGUGGAGAAGCUAGGGAGGAAUCGGUUCCUGAUCUGCAACAAAUUGCCGACCAUUGUACAAAUAUGUCGGAGAUCAUGAUGUCACGGAAAAAGAUGAGGCUUUUAGAAGCCAUGGAGGUAGCUUAUAAUAUAGGGAAGAAAUGUAAACAGGCUAGUGUCGAUCUUCUUGAAGAAUGGAAGAAGAAAAAUGAAGCAGGACAGACGCCAAAGGCGAAAUCAUUCAGCCCGGAAUUUUGAGCUUUAUUUGGAGUAUUCGAUUUCUUUAUAAUGUGCUUUAUUCUGUUGGAAGAAUAGUGUAUUGCCAAUUAGAGGAAUUGGCUGAAAUUUUUGCAGAAAUAUAAAUGAUAGGAAUGCGUAAAUUGUAUACUUCUCAAAACUUCAAGAGCGAGGUCGUUCAACUUGCCCGUGGGAAUGGACUUUAGUUCUAGCUAAGAAUAUGUUUGUUCACCCUCGACA